AGUCGAGCGGAUCGAUGGAAGCUUGCUUCCUGAGAUCAGCGGCGGACGGGUGAGUAACACGUGGGCAACCUGCCCCUAAGAUCGGGAUAACUUCGGGAAACCGGAGCUAAUACCGGAUAKGACUUUUCUUCACAUGAAGGGAAGUGGAAAGACGGUUUCGGCUGUCACUUAGGGAUGGGCCCGCGGCGCAUUAGCUAGUUGGUGAGGUAACGGCUCACCAAGGCCACGAUGCGUAGCCGACCUGAGAGGGUGAUCGGCCACACUGGGACUGAGACACGGCCCAGACUCCUACGGGAGGCAGCAGUAGGGAAUCUUCCGCAAUGGACGAAAGUCUGACGGAGCAACGCCGCGUGAGUGAAGAAGGUUUUCGGAUCGUAAAACUCUGUUGUCAGGGAAGAACAAGUAYCAUAGUAACUGAUGGUACCUUGACGGUACCUGACCAGAAAGCCACGGCUAACUACGUGCCAGCAGCCGCGGUAAUACGUAGGUGGCAAGCGUUGUCCGGAUUUAUUGGGCGUAAAGCGCGCGCAGGCGGUCUUUUAAGUCUGAUGUGAAAGCCCACGGCUCAACCGUGGAGGGUCAUUGGAAACUGGGAGACUUGAGUGCAGAAGAGGAGAGUGGAAUUCCACGUGUAGCGGUGAAAUGCGUAGAGAUGUGGAGGAACACCAGUGGCGAAGGCGACUCUCUGGUCUGUAACUGACGCUGAGGCGCGAAAGCGUGGGGAGCGAACAGGAUUAGAUACCCUGGUAGUCCACGCCGUAA
RNAcentral lists this ribosomal RNA (762 nucleotides) under Bacillus sp. (in: firmicutes). Its description in RNAcentral is "bacterial SSU rRNA". It matches the Rfam family "Bacterial small subunit ribosomal RNA", at positions 60 to 805 of the family's 1533-position model. The record is from RNAcentral. Lineage: Bacteria; Bacillati; Bacillota; Bacilli; Caryophanales; Bacillaceae.